Long non-coding RNA from Ochotona curzoniae (black-lipped pika), 227 nucleotides. RefSeq lists it as uncharacterized. Lineage: Eukaryota; Metazoa; Chordata; Mammalia; Lagomorpha; Ochotonidae. The record is from RefSeq and is a predicted model, not a curated record. The transcript is spliced from 3 exons.
GAGGAAGACUUGGAAUACACUGAGGUCCAGAUAAUUCAGCUAGAAGACAAUGGGAAUGCUGAUACCCUCAUGGCAUCUCAAGAGGACCAGGCUGUCUCAGUCAUCUAUUCUGAUGUGAAGAUGGAGCUUCCAGAUCCAUCAUGAAAGGCGGCAGGAUGUCCUACACCUGUGAGUUGUCUGUGAUCCAGAGUUCCACGCCUACCACAGUCUUCAUGAUCCCUGACGUG